This is a long non-coding RNA of Manis javanica (Malayan pangolin), 1334 nucleotides long. RefSeq lists it as uncharacterized. NCBI's taxonomy places the organism in Eukaryota, Metazoa, Chordata, Mammalia, Pholidota, Manidae. The record is from RefSeq and is a predicted model, not a curated record.
UUGCUCACACCUCUUGCAUAGGAGUCAGUAUCCACUGUUGGGAAUUUGGAGGCUUCCAAGAAACUAAAGAACAUAGUUCUGGGACUUCUAGUGCUCACUAUUGAUCACAUCAUUUCCCAGCAAUAUGCCAGGACUGGCUCUAGCACCAUCUGCCAGAGAGGGCACAGCACAGCCUGGGAAAUCCUUUACCACUGGCAAUAGCAGACACCUCAGUUAAGAGUAUGAAUCUCUUAUGUGAACUUGUGGCAUGACUCCAAGGAGCGGACUGAGAAAUCAUUCCUCUUACAGCUAGAAAGAACCUGUGUUCUUCAUUCCCAAGCUUUGUGACAAGAAGUGUCUUGCAGUUACAGAUGAUGAAUUAGAGCCCAAGGAGGUCAAAGGACUUUUCAGAAUUCUAUUGUGUUAAUGUGUAUCUACAAGAAGGAAACAGUAUUCAGCCUUUCUUAAGCUUAUUUAACCAUGGAACUAUUUGCCACGAAGCAUUUUCAGGCACUGGUGUUCUACAAGAUACAGUAAGGACAGUCUUGAUGCAGUCCAGAUAUUUAAGCACUGGAGAAACACAUGGAAAAAAGAACCCAAGACUGGGAAAGAAAAGUGAGUUCCCAUCUUCAUCCUGAUUCAUGACGUCUUCACCACACACCGUGGUCCUGGGCUUAGCUGACCUGGAGAUCAGCAGACCCCCGUCUCCACUUCUCCUCCUGAUCACUCACUUGGCUUCUCAAAGGUUUUACCAGCAUUUGAAGGAGAAAAAUGCAUUCAAUGACACUGCUACCUGCCUGACAGCAUAUGAAAAAACGGCCCCUUCUGCAAGACCCACCUUGAUUUCAGAGAAGACAAAAUGUGUAACACAUGUACCCUAAAAUCGAUGAAUGUUUCUUCUUUUUGUUAAUUAUUAUCCAUGAUCCCUACCAUGGUGGUUUGAAGCCAUCCAAUUUGCUUUAUAAUGGCUUCUAGGAUACGAGGAGAUGUUGGUAUUCCCAGCCUUCUCUAGCAUGUAAUGCCAGGAUCCUUUAUUCCAUUGAUCUUUAGUUAACUGUUUACCACAUGCCAGGCACUGCAACUAGGCAGUUGCAGGUAGAGUGAUGAAAGACAUGGUUCUACCUGCCACACACCACAUCUUGUACUGUGUGCUCCUGCCUAGUCAAGGGGGCACUCAAGUUAUAAACCAGACUGAUACAUAGAAACUUAAUGCAGGAAAAAUUCUGAGGAAUCUGUUGAUCCCAAUUGGCAGAUGAAGAAACUAAAGCCUGAAGAGAUUCAUGCCUUGCAGACACAUACAUUAAUUAAUAAUAGUCGUAUGUAUUAUAUGUUGAUUUUCUUUCUGAAAAAAAGUU